AUGGUAUUUGAAGGUGCGGUUGACCAUGGUGUGUACGCUUUAUUUAUGACAUAGGACACAUGGUCUACUUCUUCUCAAUAUCAC
This is a non-coding RNA of Rattus norvegicus (Norway rat), 84 nucleotides long. The record is from Rfam. NCBI's taxonomy places the organism in Eukaryota, Metazoa, Chordata, Mammalia, Rodentia, Muridae.